Molecule: ribosomal RNA, 428 nt
Filed under: uncultured bacterium
Lineage: Bacteria
Description: partial 16S ribosomal RNA
Rfam family: Bacterial small subunit ribosomal RNA
Source: RNAcentral
GUGGGGAAUAUUGGUCAAUGGGGGAAACCCUGAACCAGCAACGCCGCGUGAAGGAAGAAGGCCUUCGGGUUGUAAACUUCUUUGACAGGGGACGAAAAAAAUGACGGUACCCUGAAAACAAGCCACGGCUAACUACGUGCCAGCAGCCGCGGUAAUACGUAGGUGGCGAGCGUUAUCCGGAUUUACUGGGUGUAAAGGGCGCGUAGGCGGGUAUGCAAGUCAGGUGUGAAAAUUAUGGGCUUAACCCAUAACCUGCAUUUGAAACUGUGUAUCUUGAGUGAUGGAGAGGUAAGUGGAAGUCCUAGUGUAGCGGUGGAAUGCGUAGAUAUUAGGAGGAACACCAGUGGCGAAGGCGACUACCUGGACUGAUACUGACACUGAGGUGCGAAAGCAUGGGGAGCAAACAGGAUUAGAAACCCCUGUAGUCC